AAAAGUAAAGAAGUAAAAUUAUUACAUUUAGUUUCGACCUAAAAAUAGAGUUAUACUCCAUACUUUUA
Molecule: transfer RNA, 68 nt
Filed under: Ptilomera tigrina
Lineage: Eukaryota; Metazoa; Arthropoda; Insecta; Hemiptera; Gerridae
Description: tRNA-Arg
Source: RNAcentral